UACGUAGGGGGCAAGCGUUGUCCGGAUUUAUUGGGCGUAAAGAGCGUGUAGGCGGCCAGGGAGGUCCGUUGUGAAAACUCGAGGCUCAACCUCGAGACGCCGAUGGAAACCCCCUGGCUAGAGUCCGGAAGAGGAGAAUGGAAUUCCUGGUGUAGCGGUGAAAUGCGCAGAUAUCAGGAAGAACACCCGUGGCUAAGGCGGUUCUCUAGUACGGUACUGACGCUGAGACGCGAAAGCGUGGGGAGCGAACAGG
This 253-nucleotide ribosomal RNA is filed under the name uncultured bacterium. Its description in RNAcentral is "partial 16S ribosomal RNA". It matches the Rfam family "Bacterial small subunit ribosomal RNA", at positions 524 to 776 of the family's 1533-position model. The record is from RNAcentral.